RNAcentral lists this transfer RNA (97 nucleotides) under Pelodiscus sinensis (Chinese soft-shelled turtle). It matches the Rfam family "tRNA". Rfam says of the family: Transfer RNA (tRNA) molecules are approximately 80 nucleotides in length. Their secondary structure includes four short double-helical elements and three loops (D, anti-codon, and T loops). Further hydrogen bonds mediate the characteristic L-shaped molecular structure. tRNAs have two regions of fundamental functional importance: the anti-codon, which is responsible for specific mRNA codon recognition, and the 3' end, to which the tRNAs corresponding amino acid is attached (by aminoacyl-tRNA synthetases). tRNAs cope with the degeneracy of the genetic code in two manners: having more than one tRNA (with a specific anti-codon) for a particular amino acid; and 'wobble' base-pairing, i.e. permitting non-standard base-pairing at the 3rd anti-codon position. The record is from Rfam by way of RNAcentral. Lineage: Eukaryota; Metazoa; Chordata; Testudines; Trionychidae.
GGCUUUGUGGUAUAAUGGAAAGCAUGUUGGACUUCUAAGCUGUGGUGUUUUGUGUGAGCCACGCCAGUCAUUGUGGACUCAAAUCCCACCAAAGUCA